GGGUCGGCGGUCAAAUCCGGUUGGAUGGCAGGCUCGCACCUUCGAAGUCGCGAGUUCAAUUCUCAUCAGACCCA
This 74-nucleotide transfer RNA is filed under the name Nitrososphaerota archaeon. RNAcentral's name for it is "Thaumarchaeota archaeon tRNA-Ala". The record is from RNAcentral. Lineage: Archaea; Thermoproteati; Nitrososphaerota.